This is a small nucleolar RNA of Notolabrus celidotus (New Zealand spotty), 134 nucleotides long. The record is from RefSeq and is a predicted model, not a curated record. Lineage: Eukaryota; Metazoa; Chordata; Actinopteri; Labriformes; Labridae.
GCUGAGGUCUAUCCCGACGGACCUUUACCUGUAGGGUCAUGUCGUUGGAAAUACCUCACAGAGUAAACCUGUAGUCUCGCUUUACCCACACGUUCCCUGCCAUGAGCCUGCUGGGAUAUCACUGCAGAACAUCA